This 64-nucleotide transfer RNA is filed under the name Pyrhila pisum. Its description in RNAcentral is "tRNA-Ala". The record is from RNAcentral. Lineage: Eukaryota; Metazoa; Arthropoda; Malacostraca; Decapoda; Leucosiidae.
UAAAACUAUAGUCUAAUUUAUGACAUAUGAUUUGCAUUCAUGAAGAGUUCAAUGAACUAGUUUU